UAUAAAUUUAUAGGCUAACUGUUAUUUGUGUAUUUGAAUUUCAAACAUUUUCAAACAAGAAACAACAUUUCGAAGUGAAUAUUUGAUGUUCUGUGUGAACGUUGUAAGCGGCUGUAGUGAUUAUCCCACAAUUUAAAAAGUAUACUUGUUGAAGUGAAGCAUGCUGGAUUCAUAUUGAAACUGAGAGGUUUAGGAGAGAAACGAAACAGUGGUUUCCUGUCUGAAAACAAAUUUAAAAUUCUCCAAUUGUAAUUGUCGGAAGCCAGGUGAGUAUUUGAAAGAUUUUAUUCACUAAAAUGGAAUGCAGUCAACGUGAGAUUGUUUCUGAAUAUGAAAGAAUGGGCAAAUUGUUGGGAGUUAAGCUUCAGAGAAAG
Molecule: long non-coding RNA, 374 nt
Organism: Coccinella septempunctata (seven-spotted ladybird)
Lineage: Eukaryota; Metazoa; Arthropoda; Insecta; Coleoptera; Coccinellidae
Exons: 2
Source: RefSeq, a predicted model, not a curated record